GAUGAACGCUGGCGGCGUGCUUAACACAUGCAAGUCGAACGAUGAAGCCCAGCUUGCUGGGUGGAUUAGUGGCGAACGGGUGAGUAACACGUGAGUAACCUGCCCUUAACUCUGGGAUAAGCCUGGGAAACUGGGUCUAAUACCGGAUAGGAGCGCCUACCGCAUGGUGGGUGUUGGAAAGAUUUAUCGGUUUUGGAUGGACUCGCGGCCUAUCUGCUUGUUGGUGAGGUAAUGGCUCACCAAGGCGACGACGGGUAGCCGGCCUGAGAGGGUGACCGGCCACACUGGGACUGAGACACGGCCCAGACUCCUACGGGAGGCAGCAGUGGGGAAUAUUGCACAAUGGGCGAAAGCCUGAUGCAGCGACGCCGCGUGAGGGAUGACGGCCUUCGGGUUGUAAACCUCUUUCAGUAGGGAAGAAGCGAAAGUGACGGUACCUGCAGAAGAAGCACCGGCUAACUACGUG
Molecule: ribosomal RNA, 466 nt
Filed under: uncultured bacterium
Lineage: Bacteria
Description: partial 16S ribosomal RNA
Rfam family: Bacterial small subunit ribosomal RNA
Source: RNAcentral